Molecule: long non-coding RNA, 1174 nt
Filed under: Apteryx haastii (Great spotted kiwi)
Lineage: Eukaryota; Metazoa; Chordata; Aves; Apterygiformes; Apterygidae
Description: lncRNA (ENSAHAG00000006276.1)
Source: RNAcentral
ACACAAGGGGGCACAAAUGUGUGCCUUUGGUUGUGCACGUAAUGGGGCACAACUGUGUGCAUUUUGUUGGGCACAGAAUGGGGCACAAAUGUGAGCUUUUUGUGCCUUUUGGUUGUGCACAUAAUGGGGCACAAAUGUAUACCUGGUGUGCCUUUGUUCUGGGACACAAUGGGGCACAAAUUUGUGCCUGGUGUGCGUUUUGGUGCGGGACACAAUGUGCCACAAAAGUUUGCCUUGUGUGCCUUUGUUUGGGCACAGAAUAGGGCACAAAUGUGUGCUUUUUGUGCCUUUUGGUUGGUCACACAAUGGGGCACAAUUGCGUGCCUUGUGUUCCUUUUGGUUUGGCCCAGAAUGGGGCAGAAAUGUGUGCUUUGUGUGCCUUUGGUUGAGAAUACAAUGGGGCACAAAGGGGUGCCUUGUAUGUCUUUUGGUAGGACACACAUUGGGCACAAAUGUGUGCCUUGUUUUCCUUUUUUUGGGGCAUACAAAGGAGCACAAAUGUGUGCCUUGGUUUUUUUGAGGGGAACAAAAUGGAGCACAAAUGUGUGCCUGGUGUGCCUUUGUUUGAGCACAGAAUGGGGCACAAAUGUGUGCCUUUGGUUGGGCACAGAGCGGGGCCAAGUAGAAGAGACUUUGUUGGGGGCAGCCUGGGAAUGUCUUUGGUGGCCUUGGCAUGCGUCAGGAGGCGGGACAGAAGAGGCAGUGUCUCUUGGUGUGUCUUUGUGUCUGCCUUUGUCUAGAAAUGCCUCGUUUUGUUUUGCAGGCRGUGAAGAGAGCUGGGCUGGCAUCAGCCAGGCCAGCCCAGGYGAUGGAGUGGUCGAGCUCAGGCAGCAGCUCCCAGGUAGGUUGCGCCAGGCGUUUUUUGGGGGGGAGGGAUGGAUAGACCGUGGUUGCCUUUGUAGUGGCUGUGUUUCCUUUUUAUGCAUUUGGAUUUUGAGAGCAGAGAAAUGGGAUAAUGCUGGUCAGACAGCGGAGGUGCUUGAGGAGCAGGCACUGUCAGUUGUAUCCCCCAAGCGCAGGAGCUGCCCAGGCCGUGGCAGUUAGCUGUGUGAGUGGCUGUGGCAGGUAGGAGACAGUUGCAUUUGGGAAGGCUGUGUCAGUGCAGGCAGGGUAGCAGGUGUUGCAGGAAAGAGUGUGAGGAUGCGGGUGAGGUUUUAGCUGAGUGUGAGAGCAU